Molecule: ribosomal RNA, 253 nt
Filed under: uncultured bacterium
Lineage: Bacteria
Description: partial 16S ribosomal RNA
Rfam family: Bacterial small subunit ribosomal RNA
Source: RNAcentral
UACGUAGGGGGCAAGCGUUGUCCGGAUUUAUUGGGCGUAAAGAGCGUGUAGGCGGCCAGGCAGGUCCGUUGUGAAAACUCGAGGCUCAACCUCGAGACGUCGAUGGAAACCGUCUGGCUAGAGUCCGGAAGAGGAGAAUGGAAUUCCUGGUGUAGCGGUGAAAUGCGCAGAUAUCAGGAAGAACACCCGUGGCGAAGGCGGUUCUCUGGGACGGUACUGACGCUGAGACGCGAAAGCGUGGGGAGCGAACAGG